GCGAGGUGUGGUAACUAGGUGUGUUGUACGUUGUAUUCCGCCACCCCCUCCCAUCUCCUCCUCUCCAAGUGAUGUCCUUGCUCGCCGGAUCUUCUUCGUGUGGGUGCAAGUUCCGAUUGGAGAAUUGGUGGGAGGAAGGAAGGAGGAAAGGAGGAACCCAAGGUGGUGGACUUCCGGAUCGUACUUAGUACCAUUCCAAAUUCUCGGUGAAGGCAAGUAAAUACAGUGGUGGUUGCUACCGUUUGGUUUGCAUCCUAUGCCUUGUCAUUGAGUAUGCAUAAGUAUUAAAUGUGUUAAUCAUUGAAUUCUAUGAUGAAGUUUAUUUGUUCGAAAGAAUUAAUUCUCAAUUGUCUAAUAUUGAGGAUGAUCAUGAUUUGAGAAUGAUAUAUGUGGUUGAUUUCCAUCUUGGAUGAAGUUGAAGUAUCUUUUUGAAUCAUGUUGUAUGAAGUGUUGUAGGCAUGUCAUGCACAUCGCAUCAUCCAUAUUGCAUUUUGAAGUUAUGUCGUGAUCUUAUGGUCCGACCGUACCGGUACACUUUUAGCAUCGUACGUUGCCCGAGGAGGGGUACGAUGCGGCUUCAUAUCCUUAGAGGUAUGAAGGCAGAAGUCAUCUUUGCAUUUGCAGACAUUUGCACUCAUGAGGUAUAUAUGAAGUGUGACAUUACUAUGUUACUAUUGUGGUUUCUACCUGCAGGUGUGGUAACUAGGUGUGUUGUACGUUGUAUUCGUGCUGCACCUUCGUAAUAAGAAGGUUGCGAAAUCAAAUGGUGGUACUUGAUAUAUGUUGGGAAUGAGGGGAGUAGCAGCACGUCCACUUUCACUCUCAUAUUAAGGCUGCCCAAGCGCAUCCAUGAUUUAAUUAGAAACUUGAUAUCAAAGGAUGUUUGUUUUUUUACUAGUCAUGCGCACUGGUUAAUUCAGUUCAUGUCAUAUGUUUAACUUUCCUUUGCUAGCCGUUUAAUAAUACUUAGUAUGUUUUUUUGUCAUGAUACAUGUUUAUACACUGUUGCCCCCUCCUUUAUGCUAUUUUGCAAAGGAGAUGCUGUCGAAAUUUUAUAUACGG
Long non-coding RNA from Zea mays, 1062 nucleotides. RefSeq lists it as uncharacterized. Lineage: Eukaryota; Viridiplantae; Streptophyta; Magnoliopsida; Poales; Poaceae. The transcript has 3 exons. The record is from RefSeq and is a predicted model, not a curated record.